Molecule: long non-coding RNA, 892 nt
Organism: Mustela erminea (ermine)
Lineage: Eukaryota; Metazoa; Chordata; Mammalia; Carnivora; Mustelidae
Exons: 3
Source: RefSeq, a predicted model, not a curated record
UUCCGGAUCCCGUUAACAAAGUGGGCCUGGGAACGCUUGGUUUGAAGCGAGGCCAAGCUGCGUCUGUUUACCACCUGCACCUGAUUAACUGGCCGCCCCGUGAGCGCUGAGUAAAGGAGCCCAAGCCCCGCGUCACGGGAAGGCCCCGCGCGCCUCCCCAGCCCCCCGGGCCAGCCCCCGGCCCGCCUCAGGGUCGGCGUCGCGCUCCCUCGCCUCACCGUUUCCUGCUCCGGCAUAAAAGGGAAUGGCCCCAUGGCGGUCUGGGUGAUGAGGGACGUGUUGCCUCGGAGAGUAAAAGGUUCUUCCUGAUCCCAUCAGCUGCCUGCCAGAGUCCACGCCUGCCCUGAGGUCUGCUCCUUGCCAUCGUUUUCAAUUUCCAGGCUCAACCAUGUGACACCACCUGCAGCUGACUUCAAGAAGCAGCCCAGGAUCAGGCGGGCUGCAGAGAGUGACCCUCAGCCAUCCAUGUGAUGGCCGUACAAAAAUGACAGAUGAGAACAUCGAGGAAAACCACUUUCCUUUUGGAAGGCACAUUUAGUAAGAAAGGGAUGAGAAGAAAUAGGAAAUGUUUCUCUAGAUUUCCAAUGGGCUAUAAUAAGUGCGCUGGAAACCAGUUGUCCUCAUGGAAGCAAGCAUCCGGGGCUGCAGGGGGAUGCUGAUGGUGCGAGGUCUGAGGCUCCCUGUGGCGCCUGAGGAGUCCGAGUGACAGGAUUGCCUCCGGAGAUGGCCAACUCCUCACGUCCAGCAGUCAUGUGAGAGUGGGAUCAGCCACAGAAUCGGACUAGACAUUUUGAGAAAGUCUCUCCUGAGAUUUAUCUCACCUUCAUUGACCAGAUCUGCUAGGCUCAGUGGCUUGAGCAGUGGCUUGAAACUGACUCUCAGGGGUCUGAGA